AGAGUUUGAUCCUGGCUCAGAUUGAACGCUGGCGGCAUGCUUUACACAUGCAAGUCGAACGGCAGCACGGGGGGGGUAACCCUCUGGUGGCGAGUGGCGAACGGGUGAGUAAUGCAUCGGAACGCGUCCUGUAAUGGGGGAUAACCUGGCGAAAGUCAGGCUAAUACCGCAUACGUCCUGAGGGAGAAAGCGGGGGAUUGGCAACGACCUCGUGUUAUAGGAGCGGCCGAUGUCGGAUUAGCUAGUUGGUGGGGUAAAGGCCUACCAAGGCGACGAUCCGUAGCGGGUCUGAGAGGACGGCCCGCCGCACUGGGACUGAGACACGGCCCAGACUCCUACGGGAGGCAGCAGUGGGGAAUUUUGGACAAUGGGGGCAACCCUGAUCCAGCCAUGCCGCGUGAGUGAAGAAGGCCUUCGGGUUGUAAAGCUCUUUCGGCCGGGAAGAAAUCGCUCAAGCUAAUACCUUGGGUGGAUGACGGUACCGGAAGAAGAAGCACCGG
Molecule: ribosomal RNA, 500 nt
Filed under: uncultured bacterium
Lineage: Bacteria
Description: bacterial SSU rRNA
Rfam family: Bacterial small subunit ribosomal RNA
Source: RNAcentral